RNAcentral lists this ribosomal RNA (253 nucleotides) under uncultured bacterium. RNAcentral describes it as "partial 16S ribosomal RNA". It matches the Rfam family "Bacterial small subunit ribosomal RNA", at positions 524 to 776 of the family's 1533-position model. The record is from RNAcentral.
UACAGAGGGUGCGAGCGUUAAUCGGAAUUACUGGGCGUAAAGCGCGCGUAGGCGGCUUUGCAAGUCGGGUGUGAAAUCCCCAGGCUUAACCUGGGAACUGCAUUCGAGACUGCAUUGCUAGAGUAUGGGAGAGGGAAGUGGAAUUUCCGGUGUAGCGGUGAAAUGCGCAGAUAUCAGGAGGAACACCGGUGGCGAAGGCGGAUCUCUGGGCCGGUACUGACGCUGAGGAGCGAAAGCGUGGGGAGCAAACAGG